This 465-nucleotide ribosomal RNA is filed under the name uncultured bacterium. Its description in RNAcentral is "bacterial SSU rRNA". It matches the Rfam family "Bacterial small subunit ribosomal RNA", at positions 338 to 795 of the family's 1533-position model. The record is from RNAcentral.
CCUACGGGUGGCAGCAGUAGGGAAUCUUCCGCAAUGGACGAAAGUCUGACGGAGCAACGCCGCGUGAGCGAAGAAGGCCUUCGGGUCGUAAAGCUCUGUUGUCAGGGAAGAACAAGUACCGGAGUAACUGCCGGUACCUUGACGGUACCUGACGAGAAAGCCACGGCUAACUACGUGCCAGCAGCCGCGGUAAUACGUAGGUGGCAAGCGUUGUCCGGAAUUAUUGGGCGUAAAGCGCGCGCAGGCGGUCCUUUAAGUCUGAUGUGAAAUCUUGCGGCUCAACCGCAAGCGGCCAUUGGAAACUGGGGGACUUGAGUGCAGGAGAGGGAAGUGGAAUUCCACGUGUAGCGGUGAAAUGCGUAGAGAUGUGGAGGAACACCAGUGGCGAAGGCGGCUUCCUGGCCUGUAACUGACGCUGAGGCGCGAAAGCGUGGGGAGCAAACAGGAUUAGAUACCCGUGUAGUC